GCUUCCCAGGGUAAGUCUGAUUUUGCUUUCUCCUAUGGAUAAGUAGCAGAGAAGGGUUGGGCAGUCUCCUUUUGCAUGGGUUGUGUAAGUCGCCAAUUUCUUUAGUGAGAAGGGUGUUCAUUGGACCCCAGCAUAUUCUGGGGUUCUUGCUUCCUGGCUUCAUCUCCUGUUGAUUUUUAGAGUCUGGUGCUUGAGUGACUCUCUGAGGUUCCAUGGAAACAUGGAGCUGGAAUGUGGAGACAGAAUGGUAGGGUUGAACUGCAGCGUCUUAUGUUUCUUAUGAGGCAGUUUCUUGUUAGUGCGGCACACUGCUUGAGUUUUUACUUCUUUCUUUCUUUCUUUCUUUCUUUCUUUCUUUCUUUCUUUUUUUUUUAUGAGCUUAGCCAUGGUUUGGUUUGCUGAGUGACCACUGGUGCUUUAUGACAUAGAGCAAUGGUUCCAGCUUUUCUUUCAUACUGGAAAAAAUUUCACACGUCUGUCAAUGUGAAGCUAGUUUGCUCUUUUCUUUUUCGAACUUAUAAUAAUUUUAAACAUGACCUUAAGUCCCUUGGUUCUGACUUCAGAGGACAUUGGCUGUUGGGGUCAGACAAAGUGAGGGUUGGCCACGCUGUUACAAAUGAGCUUUGUAGUAAUUACUGCUGAGAUCAUAAAACUCGGCUUUCCCACUGCAUGUCAAUGCUCCUUUUCAUUAUAUAGUGCUUGGAACAAAAUCAUGUGAUUUUUUUUUUAAAAGCUUAAACAUAACCAUGUUUGAAAGGCAGUUUUCAUUUUGUGGCUUUUUUUUUCUUCCCCCUUUCCGGUGUCUAGUACAGCCAAGGAUUUUAUCUUCUUGUAUCUUUUUUGGCACUCUAGUGAGUAAUCCAUUCUGAGUUACUUUCUCACUAGAAGAGCUGGUCACCUUCUUAGCCAUGGUGGAUGUUCCCCCUCCCCACUUCCUCUCCAUCGAUGGACCCAAGACAUGACUGUGCCCAAUGGUUUACCCCGAUGGCAAUGGCAUCUCAAUGGAGGCUCAGCAGGGAGAUCAGGCUUGAUACCGUUGGGUGAUAUAGCCAGUGGCUCAAGAGGGAACUUAAGUCUGUAAAUAUGGAACGGUUUCUCCCGAGAUUAACAGGUUAAAAAGUGUGUGAGGACUUCAGUUGAUAUUUUAACAAAUGAAGACAUUUCCACGAGGACCUUUACAGAGCACAACACUGAACCUCUAGAGCUUAGGGUCUCACAUGAAAAUAUUGGCAUCCUUGGGCCCUAUGACCUUGUGCCAACGAGUGCAGUGGGAAGUUGUGUGGCUUGACUCUCUGGAGUAUCAGUAGUUCUUAGGUGUUCACAGUGACACAGAUGUAUCUAAUUCAGCUGGUCAGUAGUUGAAAAGCUUUCUCAGGCUGAUAUAGAGGCACAGAAUGGGGCAGAGCAUGGAAUGGAAUCUGUAAAGAGAUGUUUACUAUGCUCAGGGUGACUUUAGAUCACCCUGUGACAGGGCCAUUACCUGUCCUUGAGAAGAUGGUCCUGUCUUCCCUGUCCUUAAGUAUAAGAUGGGCUUUGGUACAAUCUUCUCAAAUACAGCCGCUCUAGGAAAGUUGUUGUAGGCACAAGGGGGAGUCCUGUAAUACCUGCAAGAGUUUCUGGCCAGGUUCAGCUAAACAGUACAUCCAUCCUAUCAUACACGGAGAUGACUUGAAAGGACAGGAAUCUUGACAGAAGGCCAUAUGCACAUGUAGAUACUGUUGGGAUAAUGAGACGUUGUCUUCCCUGAGAGAAGUCAUAGCAUCAAAUAUGGAGGCAACACUUGAAGGCACUGGAUGUAACCUUGUAAUUUCCUAGAGUUCUUCCUUCACCAUUCUUAGACCACAACAGUGACUGAGCAGCAUAUUCUUUAAAAGGAGAGAAAUCAAGUACAAUUUCAGAGCUGACAAAUAUGGGUUGCUACUGUAUUUAAUUUUUAUUUUUGGGACAGGCUCUCCUGUAGCCCAAGAUAGGUUGAAAUCUGCUAUAUAAAUGGGGGUGGUCUUGAACCUCUGCCUACUGAUUCUCCUACCUCUGCCUCUUGAAUGCUGAAAUUGCAGCCUUGCACUGCCACAUAGAGUCUAUGGAUCCUGGAAAUCAAACUUAGGGCUUUGUGCAUGCAGGUCCAGCACUCUGCCAACUGUGCUAAAUCUCCAACCCGUCCAGCCUUUUUUGACGUCAUCUCGCAGUCUUUAUUCCUAUUUAAUGCUUAGUGUCUCAUCUAAAAGCAAUAUGGGAGGAACCCCACACAGCUUUUUAUGCUGAGCUGUGUGUGUCAUCUAUAGAACAUUUAAGUUAUUCAGAAGAAGGAUAAUUAGGCUUAAAUAUAACAUUCCCAUAUUGCAUGUAAUAUAUACAAAUACAUAUAUAUCAAUGUUGGUGUAUAUGUCCAUAGCUGUUCAUCUUUCCACACAAUUUACUACAGCCUUUAGUCACACACACACACACACACACACACACACUCAAAAUAACCAUGCUGAAAGAUGAGAAAAGGAAGGAAAAUAGAGGUUAUUCAUCCUGAUGUUUUUAACGUAUGUAUCUCCUACUUAGAAAUAUUCAGAUGCAGCUUUGGUUUAUGUAGUUAAUUUUGGUGGUACAAUGUUUUAGAUGAUGGCCAACAGAAGGCUAGGAGGCAAUUGUUGAAGCUGUAAUUUGCAGAAGUUUAACAAUACAAGUCCAUUUUCUUUUCUGAAUGUGCUAUUUAUAUAAUUUGUAUUUUUAACAAAUCUUAGAACUAGAAUGAAAAUAGUAAUUAAUCUUAAGAGU
Molecule: long non-coding RNA, 2763 nt
Filed under: Mus musculus (house mouse)
Lineage: Eukaryota; Metazoa; Chordata; Mammalia; Rodentia; Muridae
Description: long non-coding RNA chr6:97897480-97900243
Source: RNAcentral